Trachemys scripta elegans is the source of this 631-nucleotide long non-coding RNA. RefSeq lists it as uncharacterized. The transcript is spliced from 3 exons. The record is from RefSeq and is a predicted model, not a curated record. Lineage: Eukaryota; Metazoa; Chordata; Testudines; Emydidae.
UUUCACAUUUGAUUACUGAGACCCCUUACUCUUCUGCCAGACGACUGAAUGAAGAAACCUUGCUGACAAGACGUGUUGGCCCUCUGACAAAGCAGAGUACAGUUGCAGACACAGAACUUCCUACCAGGAGUGCUCCCAUGGGACCUCAUUCAUGUUCACCUGCAGUACCUCCAGAGAACACUCCCUGCACAGAAGGCCCUCCUCACCAGGUGAACAGCCAACUCUGCUUUCCAUCAUCAAGAGCCUACAGUGCAGGACAAGGCUGGGGAGGGGAUAAACCUGUUUCUCAAAGACAAAGGACAAGCGGACACCUCUAGCCAGGAGUCAAAGUUGAUUUGCAAUCACCCGUCAAGUGGCCAUUCUUUGGCAACGAAGGAGGGCAGGAAGAGAAGAAUCUGCAUUUUAGUAAGCAACAGCCUGGAACCUCUUACCACGAGACUCCAUGUCACCAUCCACAACGGGAAGGAACUUUAUCGAGGGGUCAGGAAAAUGCAUUUCAAAGGGUGACUGGACUAUAAAAAUGAGAGGCAAAAAUACCCCAGGUUCUCUCUCUCUUUCAUCUAAGACAAAGGAACCAGCCUGUGGACUAUGGGAGGGGUUCUGAUGUGAGAAUUUGGUCAGCCCUGUUGCU